This is a long non-coding RNA of Cornus florida, 10074 nucleotides long. RefSeq lists it as uncharacterized. The record is from RefSeq and is a predicted model, not a curated record. The transcript has 10 exons. NCBI's taxonomy places the organism in Eukaryota, Viridiplantae, Streptophyta, Magnoliopsida, Cornales, Cornaceae.
UUCGCCGUUCUGGUUCUCUAUAAGCCACACAACCGCCACAAACCAAACCCUAAGACAAAAACCUCUUACGGGAUGUGAUGGGAAUCGUGGGCGGGGAAGGUACGAGCGAGACAGUGAAGAAUGAGUCAGGGAAGAUGAUACAGAGUCCUUGAGGAUGUCAUCGUCAGUGCGGCGAGGGAUGGAUUUGAGAACAAGGUGGUCGUGGUCCUCAUCGCCGCUGGUGCUAGAGGUGGUCGACGUCCUCAUUGCCACUUCGCCGCUGAUGCUAGAGGAAGUCGUCGUCCUCGUUAAUGUAAUUUUGUAAAAAAAACCCUAACCCACUUUCGUUUCGCCCUCCUCUCUCUCUGCGCGAUGCCGCCAGUCCACCCGCCUUUUCUCUCAAUUUCACCACCGCCGCGUCCUCAAUCACAUUCUCUCUCACCGUCCCGACCUCAUCACCGCUAUGAACUUGCUGUCGCCUCUACCGCCACCUCUGUGAACUUACAGACAGCGCGUCUUCAUCUCCGAUGCUGUGCUCAUUGUCGCUUGUUCCAGACGCUUCUUCCAUCUGUUGGGUGGGGAUUGUUGCAGCACGGCGGCUGUGAGACGGUGACUGCGGGAAAGCCGUCGGCGUUAGCAAAGGGGAGGUGCCGAUGUGGAGCUGCAAGAUAUCCUAAUGAGUCUUCGGAGUGAUUUCUGUACUUGGCAAGUACAACAGAGGAAUAGGCAAGAAUCGUAGCACUAAAUUCAUCAUAUAUUCUCACUGCAAGUUAAUGAGGAAAUGAUGGCAAAUGUUUAUAGGAGUUUGAACGGAACUUCUGGCUCGAGAGAUCCCUUAAUCGGCUAACUCACUAUUGACUAACUCACUUAGGAAAGCUGGAAGUACAGAGUGGGACUAAUCGGCAGCGGUCUAACUAAACCGCUGCAGAAGCCCCUUUAUUCCUGCCUUUUUCUCUAGCCGCUGCUGACCGACACUCAAACUAUUUUAUUAGUUUUCCCCCACUUACCCCAAGUACUCUUCCGUGAAACUUAUCUUUCCGGCACUACACCCCCCUCUCUCCCAUCUCUCUCUCAUUACACACAAAGCUAGUCAAGCCCAAACAAUCAUCUAUCUCUUAGAAUGUUUAUCUGACUCUGUCUUCCCUCAUAAAUUACUCUUAUUUCUCUCUAGGAGCCAUUCUCUCUCCUCUCACUUCAUAGCAAGAAUAGAAUUUUCAUUGAAAUACAUAGUCCUGUAACUGGAAAAUCAAUAUCAACUCUUCAUUUCUCUCUCUACAUAUAAACAUAUUAUACAUAUAUAAAUAUGUGUAUUAGAGAUCAAUUAUCAACAUGUACCGAACUCUGUUUCUCUCUCUCUCUUUAAAAUAUAUUUGCCAUACCUGUGCUUUUAAGGGCUAAAAUUAAUCAAUGCAUGUAGUCGAUUAUGAAGCAUAAGCAGCCAUGGGAGCUUGGAUUGGAAUCUAAAGCAGCUGUUGAAGCUCAAUUAUGUUUGAUUGGGGUUCAACUAUUGAAGUUUUCAUCAAUGGAUGUGUUCAAUUUGCGCCGACUGAUUUCCUGCAGGCAUAAGGCAAGUAUCUUGGCACUAAAUCCAUCAUAUAUACUUACUGCAAGUUAAUGAGGAAAUGAUGGUAGAUGUAUAGCAGUGGUAUAAAUAAACCGCUGCAGGAGCCCCUUUAUGCCAGCCUUUUUAUCUUAAUUGCUGCCUAAGAGAUAUUGUGACCGCUGCUGAAACUAUUUUGUUAAUUUCCCCCCAGUUACCCGAAGUACUCUUCCGUGAAACUUAUCUUUCCUGCUCUACACCCGUCUCUCCUCUCUCUCGCACUACGCACAAAACUGUUCAAGCCCAAAGAAAUUUAUAGAACAAUCAUCUAUCUCUGAGAAUUACUCUAUUGCUCUAUCUUCUCUCAUAGAUUACUCUUGUUUCUCUCUUGCAGUCACCCUCUCUCUAGCUCUCUCUCUUCUCUCACUUCAUCGCAAGAAUAUAGAAUUUUCAUUGAAAUACGUAGUCCAGUCCUUUAACUGGAAAAUCAAUGUCAACUCUUUCUUUCUCUCUCUACAUAUAAACAUAUUAUACAUAUAUAAAUAUGUGUAUUAGAGCUAAUUUAUCAGUAUGUACCGAACUCUUGCUUAAAAAAAUAUUUGCCAUACCUAUGUUGUUAGGACUAAAAUUAACCAUUGCAUGUAGUCGAUUAUGAAGCAUAAGCACCUAUAGGAGGAGAUUUCGUGGAGGUAAAAGUCUAGAGCGUUGUGGCUUAAGGAAGGUGACAAUAACACGAAGUUUUUUCAUAGACUGGCCAAUGCUCAUAGAAGGGGCAAUCACAUUGGGAGGAUUCGGGUGGAUGGGGAGGUGUUGUGUAAGGAGGAGGAGAUUUGUAAAGGUUUUGCUGAGUACUUUUCGAUGUUGUUCAUUGAACCGUCUGGGUGGAGACCUUUUCUUGCGGGGCUUCAUUUUGAUUCUAUUUCGAGUGAGGAGAGCUCUAUUUUGGAGGAGCCAUUUUCGGAAGAGGAAGUUUUGCCCGCUUUGAAGAGCUGUAAUGGGGAUAAAGCCCCAGGUCCUGAUGGUUUUACAAUGAGAUUCCUUCUGGAGUGUUGGGAAGUGGUUCAAGAGGAGGUGAUGGGUUCUUUCAAUGCCUUUCAUUCUCAGGGCUCUUUUGAUAAGAGUUUGAAUGCCACUUUUAUUGCUCUCAUUCCGAAAAAGGGAGGGGCGCUGGAUGUUAGGGAUUUUUGCCCUAUUAGCUUGGUGGGUUGCUUUUAUAAGUUGAUUACAAAAGUCUUGGCAUCUAGGUUGAGGAAGGCUCUGGAUGGAGUCAUUUCUGACUCUCAGAAUGCCUUUGUGGGAGGUCGUCAGAUUUUGGAUUCAGUUCUUAUUGCUAGUGAAUGUGUGGACUCCAGAUUGAGCAGUGGGAUUCCGAGUGUUUUGUGCAAGCUGGAUAUUGAGAAGGCGUACGACCAUGUGAAUUGGAACUUCCUCCUCUACUUCUUGGAGAGGAUGGGGUUUGGUGAGAGAUGGAGGAGAUGGAUCCAUUUUUGUAUCUCUAGCGCUCGUUUCUCUGCCCUUGUGAAUGGUGCCCCGUCGGGGGUUUUUGCUAGUUCGAGGGGAUUGAGGCAAGGGGAUCCACUUUCUCCUUUCCUGUUCCUUUUUGUGAUGGAGGCUCUUAGUAGAUUGUUGAAGAAAGCUAUUGAUUUGGGGUUUUUGAGAGGAUUUCGGGUGGGCAGAGAUGUUGCUUGUCAGUUGGAAAUCUCCCACUAUGUUUGCGGAUGAUACUUUAGUUCUUUGUGAUGCAGAAGCAUCUCAACUGAGAUAUUUGAGAUGUGUUUUGAUUUGGUUCCAAGUUGUUUCUGGGCUCAAGAUGGAUGUUGGUAAGAGCGUUCUAGUUCCGGUUGGGGAGGUUCCUGAGAUUAAGAUGUUUGCUCAAAUUCUUGGAUGUCGCACUGGUCUUUUUUCCCAUUUCUUACUUAGGGUUGCCUCUUGGAGUCCCUUCGAGAUGUGUCAGGUGUUGGGACCUGGUUGUGGAUCGAUUUGAGAAGAGACUAGCAAGUUGGAAGAAGCAGUAUCUUUCUAAGGGUGGGAGGGUCACUCUGAUUAAGAUCACCCUUUCUAGCCUCCCCACUUAUUUCAUCUCUCUUUUUCAGAUCCCUUCUUCUAUGGCUGAGAGAAUUGAGAGGUUGCAGCGUAAUUUUCUUUGGGGAGGGGGGGAGGACAGGAGUUUAAGUACCAUUUGGUUCGUUGGGAACAGGUUUGUUGUCCGAUUCGAUGUGGAGGUUUAGGGUUUAGGAGGUUAUUGCCUUUCAAUAAGGCUCUUCUCGGGAAAUGGCUUUGGAGGUUCGGGGUUGAGAGGCAUUGGCUUUGGAGGAGAGUUAUCGCAAGCAAAUUUGGGGAGAGCAGCGGAGGGUGGUAUUCUUUUGAGGUGCGUGGUCCUAGGGGGGUGGCGCUUUGGACUUUCAUUCGGAAGGGGUGGGAUGACUUUUGCAAACAUGUUCACUUUCGGAUCAGGGAUGGUAGGAGGAUUAGAUUUUGGGAGGAUGUUUGGUGUGGGGAGUUUUCUCUUGCUCUCUCUUUCCCACGUCUUUUCAGGAUUGCUUCUCAUAUACAGGCCAUGGUGGUUGACUGUUAUUAUCUUGAUAACAGGAGACUGGCUUGAGAUGUUCAGUUUAGGAGGCACUUUCAGGAUUGGGAGAUUGAGGACGUUUAUCGUUUGUUGGAGGUUUUGUAUAGCCAGGUGAUCACAGAUGGUGAUUCGGAUGGUUGGCUUUGGGAUCCUAACUCUUAGGGUCGGUUCAAGGUUAGGUCUUUUUUUAGGUGUCUUACGGUUGAUGGUGGGGGCCUUUCCCUUAGAAGUCUAUAUGGCAUUCUAAGGCCCCCCUCAAAGUGUCCUUCUUUGCUUGGACUUCUAUUUUGGGAAAGAUUUUAACCCAGGAUAAUUUGAGAAGGAGGAAUCAAGUGGUGAUUAAUCGUUGUUACUUGUGCUUGAGUGGGGAGGAGACGGUUGAUUAUCUUUUGUUGCAUUGCACUGUGGCCAGAGACUGUUGGGUUUUGAUGCUUGGUUUGUUUGGGGUUCCCUGGGUUAUGCCUUGUUCCACUAGAGGGUUGAUUGAGGCUUGGAGAGGCUUUUCAGUGGGGGCUCUCAUUCAGGAUGCCUGGAGGGCUACUCUUCUUUGUAUUUAGUGGUGCAUUUGGCUGGAGAGAAAUCGGAGAUAUUUCGAUGGAAAGGAGAAGCCUGUCUCCUGUCUCUAUGCUUAAGUUCUCUAUUAUUUCCAACCUUUUUUGUUGGGUUUAAGGGAGAGGUUAUAGAUCUUUUGAGGAGAUUGUUUCUUUUUCGGCCUCUUUGAAGGCUUGAGGCGUUUUUUGGCCUUUGUGUUUCCUUGGGUUCCGCUCUCCUUUUGAGCGUUUUUUAUAAAAUUUUUACUUACAAAAAAAAAAAAAAAAAAAAAAAUUGGAGUCUAAAGCAGCUAUUGAAGCUCAACUGUGUUUGAUUGGGGCUUAGCUAUGGAAGUUCUUUCGAUUUGGGCCGACUGAUUUCUUGCGGAUAAUAAGUCGAUUAUGAAGGAUAUGCAGCCAUUGGAGCUCAACUAUUGGAGUUCUCAUCAAUGAACAUGUGUUCGAUUUGGGUAGACUGAUUUCAUGCGGGCAAUAAGACAUUUUGUAGCAGCUUAAGCAGUCAUAAUUGCUGAGAAUUCUGAAACUAUAUGGCAGCAGUUUAUCUGCUGGGAAAACCCAGAAAUAUAUCCUGGAAGAGCAAUUGAGUCCAAAAAACCCAGAAUCAAUUGAGUCCAAAAAACCUAGGAGAGCAAGCUUGUGGAAAGCUCAUAGUCCAAAAAACAUCUAUCCCGAACCAAUUGAGUCCUCACCCAUUGAGCCCAAAGGUUAUGUUUAUGGUUGGAAACAAGAGUCCAAAUAUGCUGUGGUGGCAACGUGUAAGCUGAAAAAGUGUUCUUCUGCAUGAUUAGCUACCUAAGAAAAACACGUAUUCCUAGUAAUAGAAAUAGAAAUAGAAAAUUUUGUAUAUAAUUUAAAUUAUAUAGCAUUGUUUCAUGUAUCUAACUUUGUACUUGGAGGAACCCACUUGAUUUCUAAUGUCCUUCUUAUUUACUUAUAGCAAAAUUAAAUUAAAAAAUUCUAAAAAAACGAAGUCUAAAUAAAAUUAACAAAAAUUUUGUGAAAGCAUCCUCAGGUCCGUACAACACUUUUUAAAAGACUACUGGACCAAACCUUAGACAGUAUGUCCCUCGAUACUUUUGGACCGAGUCUGACCGUAUUUAUCGAGCUUGAUUCUUGAAUCGGCACUUUCAAUCCCAUUUAGAGUCGGUUUGAGGUUGAUUUUUAAUUGCCUAAAAAACGUUUUUAUUUUAAAAAAUUAAAUUACAUAUAGGCCUUUUUGGUAUUUAAUGGUUACCAAUUUUAGUUUACUAGAGAUUUUGAAUGAAGUUAGACUUAUGAACUUUUCAAAUCGCGUUUUGAGUAUAGGUUGUAUAUUUUAGGUAAUUAUUUUUUCUUAGACAAUUUUAUCCUUUUUUUAUUUUUUACAAAGACAAUCUCAGCCAUUCUUUUAUAAAGUUAAAAUUAUAUAUCAAAUAUAGUUAAUUUUGUAUUAAAAGAUAUUAUUGUAAAAUUAGCAAUACAAGUGUUUUAAAAAUAUUAUUACCAAACAAAUUUAAAAAUAAUUUAAUUAUAAAGAGUACAUGUCAUCAAACACCUACUAUAUUUUUCACCAAAUGUAAUUUUUCUACCGCUCCAGUUGUGAAAGCGCUUAUUUUUUCUAACUGCAAUGCCAAACGAGUUCUUACACGGGGUUGCGUUGUAUGGUCAAACCAACACAUCCCCAUUCACGCAUGUAUUGUAAUCCAAUGCAGUUUAUUAACCAUUUUUAACCAAUCCUAAACCAUAGGUUAUGUUAAAUAACCGAAUUUUGUACUUUGCAUGUAAUCUUUACACUAAGAUAUUCACGUUAGUCUAACGUGAUACACAUAAACACCCAACUAUAAAUUAAAAGGGAGGUAUAUCUAUUUGCCGGUGAAAACUUGAAUGAUAGGGUGUAUACAAAAUUGAAGAUAAUGCAUUAUAUACUAAAACAGCCUUCAAAAAAAAAAAAAAAAAAAAAAAAUCCAAUUCAUAUUUAUUAAAUAUCUUAUGAUUAAAUCAUGCAUGCAUGGCAACCUUUUUCUUUUAUCAAUUUGACAUGGAACUGGCACACAACCCAAACUUCAUUCCUCGUUAUCAAAGAGAAAAUCAUGUUUUUAAAUAUUGUUGUAUAUAUAUUGUUAAAUUUGCACAUUAUUUUUAACAUAUAGUAGUCAAAUUCACUAGCAUGCUCUAUUAAUAUGUAUUUCUUUGCUCAUAUUAUCAUCUCUGCUUUCACUAACAUGCUUCUAAUGAGAUUCGAAUUAUUUUGAAAAAAAAAUCAUAACAUCCGAAUUAAAAACCUUGAUAAUAUCUUGUAACAACUCUUUCUUUCUUUUAUGAAUAACAGUGUUUUGAGGCACUCAAAAAUCAAAAUCUAGGGCUAAAAACACUCUCUCACACACACUAUUUCCCUCUCUUCAUGUGAUGAGUCUGAAUAUGAAAUGGCAUUGUCCCUUGGUAUUCGAAGCACAUCAUUGUCCUAUUGAGUAACACUUUUCAAUAAAUUUAUAAGUAUUUAGGGACCUCUGGCGAAUGCUAUGAAGAAAAGAAACUCACUGGCAAAGCUACCUAUUUUUGGCUCUCAAACAAUAGAGGCUUCAUUACUCUUAGAAUGUCUCUCUCUCUAGUCUCUCCCAGUCUCUCUCUCUCUCUUAGAAUGUCUCUUUGACUCUUAUCUUCUCUCAUAGAUUACUCUUAUUUCUCUUUUGUAGUCAUUCUCUCUCUAGCUCUCUCUCCUCUCACUUCAUAGCAAGAAUACAGAAUUUUCAUUGAAAUACAUUGUCCUGUAAGUGGAAAAUCAAUGUCAACUCUUUCUCUCUCUACAUAUGUAUGUAUUAGAGCUGAUUUAUCAGCAUGUACUGAACUCUAUUUCUAUCCCUCUUAAAAAUAUAUUUGCCAUAUUUGUGCUGUUAAGGGCUGAAAUUAAUCGAUGCAUGUAGUCGAUUAUGAAGGAUAAGCAGCUAUUGGAUCUCAAAUCAGAACCUAAAGCAGCUAUUGAAGCUCAACUGUGUUUGAUUGGGGCUCAACUGUUGGAGUUCUCAUCAAUGCAUGUGUUCGAUUUGGGCAGAUUGAUUUCCUGUGGGCAAUAAGACAUUUUGUAGCAGCUUAAGCAGUCAUAAUUGCUGAGAAUUCUCAAACUAUAUGGCAGCAGUUUAUCUACUGGAAAAACCCAGAAUUAGCGUGGGAUUUUCUGAAGCCGCUAUUGAAGCUCAACUGUGUUCGGUUAGGGCUCAGCUAUUGAAGUUCUUAACAAUGCAUGUGUUCGAUUAGGGCUCAGCUAUUGAAGUUCUUGUGGGGCGAUAAGGCAAGAAUCUUAGCACUGAAUUCAUCAUAUAUCCUUUCUGCAAGUUAAUGAGGAAAUGAUGGUGCAUGUAUAGCAGCGGUAUAAAUAAACCGCUGCAGGAGCCCCUUUAUGCCAGCCUUUUUCUCUUAACUGCUGCCUAAGAGAUAUUGUGACCGCUGCUCAAACUAUUUUAUUAAUUUCCCCCCAGUUACCCGAAGUACUCUUCCGUGAAACUUAUCUUUCCUGCUCUACGCCCGUCUCUCCUCUCUCUCGCACUACACACAAGACUGUUCAAGCCCAAAAAAAUUGAUGGAACAAUCAUCUGUCUCUGAGAAUGCCUCUAUGACUCUAUCUUCUCUCAUAGAUUACUCUUGUUUCUCUCUUCGGUCACCCUCUCUCUAGCUCUCUCUCUUCUCUCACUUCAUAGCAGGAAUACAGAAUUUUCACUGAAAUACGUAGUCCAGUCCUUUAACUGGAAAAUCAAUGUCAACUCUUUCUCUCUCUCUCUCUCUACAUAUAAACAUAUUAUACAUAUAUAAAUAUACGUGUGCUAGUGCUAAUUUAUCAGCAUGUACCAAACUCUCGCUUAAAAAAAUAUUUGCCAUACCUAUGCUGUUAGGACUAAAAUUAAUCAUUGCAUGUAGUCGAUUAUGAAGCAUUAGCACCUAUAGGAACUCAAAUCGGAGUCUAAAGCAGCUAUUGAAGCUCAAUUGUGUUUGAUUGGGGCUCAGCUAUGGAAGUCCUUUCGAUUUGGGCCGACUGAUUUCUUGCGGACAAUAAGACAAGAAUCUUAGCACUGAAUUCAUCACAUAUCCUCACUGCAAGUUAAUGAGGAAAUGAUGGCGGAUGUAUAGUAGCGAUCUAAAUAAAUUGCUGCAAGAGCUUGACUUAUUCUUUUUUUUUCUUUCUCUUUCUUUCGGCAAAUAUACAGGAGUCCCUUUAUGCUAGCCUUUUUCUCUAAUCGCUGCCUAAGAGAUAUUGUGACCGCUGCUCAAACUAUUUUAUUAACUUUCCUCCAAUUACUCAAAGUACUCUUCCGUGAAACUUAUCUUUCCUGCACUAAACCCUUCUCUCUAGUCUCUCCCAGUCUCUAUCUAUCUCUUAGAAUGUCUCUCUGACUCUAUCUUCUCUCAUAGAUUAUUCUUAUUUCUCUUUUGUAAUCAUUCUCUCUCUGGCUCUCUCUCCUCUCUCUUCAUAGCCAGAAUACAGAAUUUUCAUUGAAAUACAUAGUCCUGUAAGUGGAAAAUCAAUGUCAACCCUUUCUUUCUCUCUCUACAUAUGUGUGUAUUUGAGCUGAUUUAUCAGCAUGUAAUGAACUCUUUUUCCAUCCCUCUUAAAAAUAUAUUUGCCAUAUUUGUGCUGUUUAGGGCUAAAAUUAAUUGAUUAUCAAAAAAGGGCUGAAAGUAAUCUAUGCAUGUAGUCGAUUAUCAAGGAUAAGCAGCUAUUGGAGCUCAAAUCGGAAUCCAAAGCAGCUAUUGAACCUCAACUGUGUUUGAUUGGGGCUCAACCUGUUGGAGUUCUCAUCAAUGCAUGUGUUCGAUUUGGGCAGACUGAUUUCCUGCGGGCAAUAAGACAUUUUGUAGCAGCUUAAGCAGUCAUAAUUCUGAGAAUUCUCAAACUACAUGGCAACAGUUUAUCUGCUGGAAAAACUCAGAAUUAGCGUGGGAUUUUCUAAAGCUGCUAUUGAAGCUCAACUGUUUUCGGUUAGGGCUCAGCUAUUGUGGGGCGAUAAGGGGUGGGAAAAUUUGGUGAGAUUUGCCUCAAUAUUUUAGGCAAACUGCUAAGAUUCAACUAUGAUAAGUCAAUUUUUGCUCGGGAAGUGAAGAAGCUGCAGGCCGAGCAGUUUCAAGCCUAUUGAACCAUGUUGUGUUGUUGGAGCCUACUGUGUGCCGAAGUAACAAAACUUGCUACAUAGCCAAUUUGCGCUUCCUUGCCUUGGUAUUAGAGUGGAUUUUAAUUCGUGAAUUAAGAGGGAGAUGUCCUUCAUCUUACUGAAGUAAUAAUAGGAUAAUAGUCCUUUUAAUUCGUGAAUUUUAAUUCAUGCUUGCUUGAGCAUAUAAACAUGUAUAUUGUAUAAAAAAAUGUGUAUUAGAGCUGAUCUGAUUUAGCAGCAUGUACAAACCUCCUCUUUUAUUUUUCCUUAAUUGUACAAACCUCUCUUUCCAUCUCCCAAUGAAACAUAUUUUCCUUA